This 229-nucleotide ribosomal RNA is filed under the name uncultured bacterium. RNAcentral's name for it is "partial 16S ribosomal RNA". It matches the Rfam family "Bacterial small subunit ribosomal RNA", at positions 568 to 796 of the family's 1533-position model. The record is from RNAcentral.
UCCGUAGGCGGAUUAAUAAGUCAGAGGUGAAAUCCCACAGCUUAACUGUGGAACUGCCUUUGAUACUGUUAGUCUUGAGUUAUAUGGAAGUAGAUAGAAUGUGUAGUGUAGCGGUGAAAUGCAUAGAGAUUACACAGAAUACCGAUUGCGAAGGCAGUCUACUACGUAUAUAUUGACGCUAAUGGACGAAAGCGUGGGGAGCGAACAGGAUUAGAUACCCUGGUAGUCC